This 3438-nucleotide long non-coding RNA is filed under the name Sus scrofa (pig). RNAcentral describes it as "lncRNA (ENSSSCG00060000351.1)". The record is from RNAcentral. Lineage: Eukaryota; Metazoa; Chordata; Mammalia; Artiodactyla; Suidae.
GGAGGCUGCACCACCACGUCCCGUGUCCUCGAAGAUGGUCCCUCAGAAGGCCCGCCCAGUCUGCACGCUGCCUUCCUGGCCAGUCUGAAUGCCCCCUGCACUCUGCCCUGCCCUUCCUGCUGUUCAUGAGAGACUCCCAGCUGCCUGAUGGUCCCAAGGCUGAAGUCUAUGGAUGGGCACUGGAAAUAAGCCAGGACACUUCUUACAGAGACUUAGGUUGCAGCAAAUGUCCUCAUUGCUUAAUAUGCUGUCACAAGCAUCUGAAACAUGACAGAGUUCUGGACAGAAAAGAUUAUCACACAUCCCUCCCCUUGAGUCACUGGUUUUUCUCUCUUACCAGAAAAGGGAUUUGAAGCUGGUGGCAGUGGGACACGGAUGCAUGUAUGUCUUAUCAUGGGGGUGUGAUAAGACAUGGAUGUCUGAGAAAAGUGACUGAGCUGGCACUCACAGGAGUUGCUAGCAUAACCUCUCCUCACUACCGGGGCGGUGCCCGAGUCCGGAGAACAAGACACUGUCAGUGGUCUGCUUGUCCAUCGCCCAAGACCCCUUUUCUUGGAGUCCAGGCUGCCCAGGUUCAAUUCCUGAGCAGAGAAUUAACAUCUCACUUCAAGCCAUCACCCUCUGAGAUCAACCGUAUCUCUAUCAGGAGCCUCUCUACAACACCUCAUCAUUGCCACCCUCCCUUCCCCAGGUAAGGGUAGAAGUAGAAGCAUGACACUCCGGGGGGUGGGGCGGGGGGGGGCAGGACCGGGUAUGGAAGGGGGAGAAGUAACAGAUGCCAAUUCAAGGUAAGCAGCUUUUCAAUAUGGGCCCACUUAUUUAAUUGUAAAGUUGUUUGGUUGGGGUGUUUUGUUUUGUUUUGCUUUGUUUCAUCUUGGUUUCUAUCUUACUGGACAAUUCUUUGCGGUUGUACCUGGCAAGCUGAGAGGAGGAAGUUGCACUUCUGAUCUAUUCCCUGAUGUCUUCAUAAAGAAACCAUUCAGGGACUUAGACCAGAGUCUAGAAAUAGCCUCUGAACAUUUGAUUAGAUAAUACACUAUAUGCAAUAUAUUAUGUAUUAUAUAUAGCACCACCGACUGUGUAAUGCACCCACGAUGUCAUCAUAUAGUGCGUAUAGCUUUAUAAUAUGACAUCGUUUAUUGCAGCUACAAUUUAUUGAAUAUUAACCAUGUGCCAGGCAUGCCAUUAAGACUUUUUCUUAGGUUUUCUCAUUAGAUGAUCUACUUUAGAUGAUGUAGUUUAUAUAAGAGUAAUUCAAAAUAACAUUUGGGGGAGACAGGAUUAAGAUGGCAGAACAGAAGGACUGGAGCUCACCUUCUCACAUAAAAACAACAGAAUUACAACCAAACGCUGAACAACCUUCAACCAAAUGGACUGGAAACUUACAAAAAGAUAUCCUACGCUGGAAGACACAGAAGAGGCCACAUCAAGAUGACAGGAGGGGCAGUUACACGAUAGAAGCAAACCCAUACCAGCCAGGUGGGAAGCCCACAAACUGGAGAGUAACUGUGUCACAGAGACUCACCUACAUGAGUGAGAGUUCUGAGGCCCAUGUCAGGCUUCCACGCCUGGGGUUCUGACACUGGGAGAAAGAGGCCGCUGAGCAUCUGGCACUGAAGACCAGUGGGGCUUGUGCACAGGAGCUCCAUGGGACUGGGGGAAACGGAGACCCCGUUCUGAAAGGUGCACACGGGCCUUCAUGUGCACUGGGUCCCAGGGCAGGGCGGAGUCUCUGAGGGAGUCUGGGUCGGACCUGACUGCAGUUCUUGGAGGACCUCCUUGGAAAACAAGGGGUGACUGUGGCUUGUUGUGGGGGAAGGACAUUGGAAGCAAGGGUCUAAGGAGUAUUCCUCAGCUUGUGUUCCUCUAGAGGUGGCCAUUUUGGGAGAAUCUGGGCCCACCCAUCAGUGCUGAGAAGCCCCAGGCCAAACAAUAAUAAUCCAGGUGGGAUCACAGCCCCACCCAUCAGUAAACAGGCUGCCUACAGACCCCCCAGGCACACAGCUGCCUCUGAUUUCACCCAGAGACAAAGCCCCACCCACCAGAGGGAUGGGAAUCAGCUCUACCUACCAGUGGGCAGGCACCAGUCCCUCCCAUCAGGAAGCCUAGAGCAAGCCCCUGUACCAACUUCAGCCACAAGGGUGGCAGACACCAGAAGAGAGGCUGCAACUCUAUUGCCUGCAAAAAGGACACCACACCAAAAACCCAUAAAAAUGAAAAGGUAGAGAACUAUAACUCAGAUAAGGGAACAAGAAAAAAAAACAGAAAAACAGCCAAGUGAUCUGGAGAUUAUCAGCCUCCAGGAAAAAGACUUUAGACUGAUCAUGCUGAAGAUGAUGGAAGACACUGGAAAUAAACUGGAGGCAAAGAUUGAUAAUUUACAGAAAACACUGAGUAAAGAAAUACAAGAUUUAAGACUUAAGCAGAGAUGCAAAAUACAAUAACUGAAAUAAAAAAUUAAUUAGAAUCAGCCAACAGCAGAAUACAGGAGGCAGAACGAAUAAGUGAGGUAGAGGACAGACUAGUGGAAAUCACUGAUGUGGAACAGAAAAGAGAAAAAAGAUUGAAAAGAAAUGAAGACAGUCUCAAAGAACUCUGGGAUAAGGUUAAACACACCAACAUCCAUAUUAUAGGGGUGCCAGAAAGAGGAGAGAGAGAGAAAGGGACAGAAAAAAUAUUCAAAGAGAUAAUAGCUGAAAACCUGCCUAACAUGGGAAAGGAACCACUCACACAAAUCCAGGAAGCACAACAAGUACCAUAUAAAAUAAAGCCAAGGAGGAACACCCCAAGAAACAUAUUAAUCAAACUGACCAAAAUAAAAGACAAAGAGAAAACACUGAAAGCAGCUAGGGAAAAGAAACAACACACAAGGGAACCCCAAUAAGGUUAUCGGCAGAUUUUUUCAGCAGAAACUCUGCAGGCCAGAAGGAAGUGACCUGAUAUACCUAACGUGAUGAAAGGAAAAAACCUCCAACCAAUAUUACUUUACCCAGUAAGGCUCUCAUUCAGAUUUGAAAGAAAAAUCAAAAGCUAAGAGAAUUGAGCCAACACUAAACCAGCUUUACGACAAAUACUAAAGGAACGUCUCUAGGCAGAAAAGAAAAGGCCACAACCAGAAGUAAAAAUACCACAAAUGACAAGGCUCACCAGUAAAGGCAUAUAUACAGUAAAGGUAGGAAAUCAUCCACACGCAAAUACACUACCCAAAUCAGAAAUCAUGAGGAGAGUACAAAUGCAGGACACUGGAGGGGCAUUUGCAAUUAAGAGACCAACAACUUAAAACAAUCUCGUAUAUAUAUAUAUAUAGACUCCUAUAUCAAAACUUCAGGGUAACUGCAAACCAAAAAUCUACAAUUUAUACACAGACAAAUAAGAAUUAUCAAUUCAAAUACAACACUAAAGAUGGUCAUCAAACCACAGGAGGAGAGGACAAGAAAA